UCACGAUUAUUCUCAAAAAAUCUCUUGUUUGUUCAUCAUUUUUUAGAUCUGUAUUAAGUUUCAAAAUAUGUUCAUCUGAAAGAGAAAAGAUAAACCCUAGAAACCCAAACAAAUCUGUAAUCGGAUUGAUCCAUUGAAGUAAAUAGGUUAAUAUUUAUAUAAAUUCAUUCAAUUUCUGUUAAUCCUAAAAAAAGAUAUUAAAUUUGAUUCUUCGGAUUUUGGUUUGUCAAUUUUUCAGGUUUGUGAUGAGAAUGAUGUUGAUAUUAUUACUUCCAACGUGUUCCAACAUUAUCGCAUCCUCUAAGUUCAAUUUCUUAAUUUAGUUUUCUUUCCCCUGCUGAUUUAGGGUUUAGAUAUGUGGAUCUGGGUACUUAAUGAUCUGUUUCUGGAUAUAUUUUUUUUUCUUUUCUAUGUUUUAGUGUGGCUGGUGGUAGUGUUCGUAUUUGAGGCUUGAUGUUCUCUGGUGGAGUUGCAGCAGCUUCGGCGGGAGGUGGUUUUGUAGGGGGUUGAGUAGAUUCUGAAGUAGAGGUUAACACAAUUUUUGGCAUCGAUGGACUUACCAAUCAAAACCCUGACAAAUCAUGAGAUGAUUGCAAGGUAAUGCUUCUGUUAAUACAAUCGUGCAAGUCCAAGAAUUAUCAAGCAACAAAAACAAGAUUCUCUUUUGGGAUUUGAAGUCCAAUAAUCAUCAAGUACCAAAAAUGAGAUGCUCAUGACUUACUGCAUCGCGGUGUUCACUACACAGUAAUACAAGAUUUAAUGCCUGAAGUGAAAUUCAGAACAACAAUUUUUUUCGGAGAUUAAAGACAUGCCAAAGUUAUAUUGACCAUGAGGGCCUUCUCAACAAUCUCUUUCAAUAGCUACUGCGAAGCAUCACAAACGAUGCAUCCUGCCAAGGCAAAAAGUCUGCAGGUAUCUCUGUGUUCGAUGUGACAAUGAACCCGCUCCUUGGACAAGGUGUUUGAACCAUUCGGGCCGUGGAGCUGGUGCCUCUUGACCAGGAGACUGGACAGUGCAAAGGGUUCGGUUUUGUCGUCUUGAAGAUGCUAGAACUGCUCAGAGUUUGAAUGGGAAAUUCGACAUUGC
Molecule: long non-coding RNA, 1086 nt
Organism: Papaver somniferum (opium poppy)
Lineage: Eukaryota; Viridiplantae; Streptophyta; Magnoliopsida; Ranunculales; Papaveraceae
Exons: 5
Source: RefSeq, a predicted model, not a curated record